This 460-nucleotide ribosomal RNA is filed under the name uncultured bacterium. RNAcentral's name for it is "partial 16S ribosomal RNA". It matches the Rfam family "Bacterial small subunit ribosomal RNA", at positions 338 to 795 of the family's 1533-position model. The record is from RNAcentral.
GCUACGGGUGGCAGCAGUGAGGAAUAUUGGUCAAUGGACGCAAGUCUGAACCAGCCAUGCCGCGUGCAGGAAGACGGCUCUAUGAGUUGUAAACUGCUUGUGUACGAGGGUAAACGCAGAUACGCGUAUCUGUCUGAAAGUAUCGUACGAAUAAGGAUCGGCUAACUCCGUGCCAGCAGACGCGGUAAUACGGAGGAUUCAAGCGUUAACCGGAUUUGUUGGGGUUAAAGGGUGCGUAGGCGGUCGGAUAAGUUAGAGGUGAAAUCCCGAGGCUCAACUUCGGAAUUGCCGCUGAUACUGUUCGGCUAGAGAGUAGUUGCGGUAGGCGGAAUGUAUGGUGUAGCGGUGAAAUGCUUAGAGAUCAUACAGAACACCGAUUGCGAAGGCAGCUUACCAAGCUACUUCUGACGUUGAGGCACGAAAGCGUGGGGAGCAAACAGGAUUAGAUACCCUUGUAGUC